This 204-nucleotide non-coding RNA is filed under the name Caldanaerobacter subterraneus subsp. tengcongensis. RNAcentral describes it as "Thermoanaerobacter tengcongensis T-box sequence". It matches the Rfam family "T-box leader". Rfam says of the family: Uncharged tRNA acts as the effector for transcription antitermination of genes in the T-box leader family. T-boxes are found upstream of many aminoacyl-tRNA synthetase genes and some amino acid biosynthetic genes usually in Gram-positive bacteria. The anticodon of a specific tRNA base pairs to a specifier sequence within the T-box motif, and the NCCA acceptor tail of the tRNA base pairs to a conserved bulge in the T-box antiterminator hairpin. Lineage: Bacteria; Bacillati; Bacillota; Clostridia; Thermoanaerobacterales; Thermoanaerobacteraceae. The record is from RNAcentral.
UAUUAGGCUGUGAAGGAGAGGAGUAGGUGUACACUGGCUACAGAGAGGGACAUCCCAUGGGCUGAAAGGAGUCCCGCCGAAGGUACACCGAAGGUAGUUCUGGAGCCUGCGGGCCGAAAUUGGAGUAGGCCUGAUCGGGUUUUGCCCGUUACAGCGUGAGUGAUAAAUGAAGGUGGUACCGCGGAAUGCCCUUUCGCCCUUCCU